GUGAACGCUGGCGGUAGGCCUAACACAUGCCAGUCGAACGGCAGCACAGUAAGAGCUUGCUCUUACGGGUGGCGAGUGGCGGACGGGUGAGGAAUACAUCGGAAUCUACUUUUUCGUGGGGGAUAACGUAGGGAAACUUACGCUAAUACCGCAUACGACCUACGGGUGAAAGCAGGGGAUCUUCGGACCUUGCGCGAUUGAAUGAGCCGAUGUCGGAUUAGCUAGUUGGCGGGGUAAAGGCCCACCAAGGCGACGAUCCGUAGCUGGUCUGAGAGGAUGAUCAGCCACACUGGAACUGAGACACGGUCCAGACUCCUACGGGAGGCAGCAGUGGGGAAUAUUGGACAAUGGGCGCAAGCCUGAUCCAGCCAUACCGCGUGGGUGAAGAAGGCCUUCGGGUUGUAAAGCCCUUUUGUUGGGAAAGAAAAGCAGCAGGUUAAUACCCCGCCGUUCUGACGGUACCCAAAGAAUAAGCACCGGCUAACUUCGUG
Molecule: ribosomal RNA, 491 nt
Filed under: uncultured bacterium
Lineage: Bacteria
Description: partial 16S ribosomal RNA
Rfam family: Bacterial small subunit ribosomal RNA
Source: RNAcentral